UGCUAAAAAAGCUAUUAGCGUUAGUCUUGUAAACUAAAGACAGAAUAAUUUAUUCUUUUAGCAA
RNAcentral lists this transfer RNA (64 nucleotides) under Sypharochiton pelliserpentis. RNAcentral describes it as "tRNA-Thr". Lineage: Eukaryota; Metazoa; Mollusca; Polyplacophora; Chitonida; Chitonidae. RNAcentral also lists the same sequence under 1 other name. The record is from RNAcentral.